UCCUAGCUUUUCUAGGUUUGUCCUACACAAACUUCAUCAGCAAGAAGUGAAAUAUUUGGUAAACUAGUAGUUGUUUUGUUUUGUGUAUUUGGAAAAAACACUAACAUUUUUCUUUACUCAUUUUUUAAUGAAAUGAUCCGAGUUGACUAAAUUCUUUGGUACCUGUAGGCAUAAAAAUAGUUCAUUAAACUUUUGCUUCCUGAAAAAAAAAAAACAACUUUUGACUGAAGAGAAUGUUUUAGGUUAAAAUUACAACUUUCCUUUGAAAAAGGAAAAAAAGAUAAGAAUUAUCUAUGUUUUCCAUGAAUUAGCUCUACAACAACUUGAUAACAUUUGAUUGUUGUACUGUGUGCAUGUGUGUGGGUUGUGUAUUGCUUCUUUCUGGCAGUUAUAAUCACUGAUACAGUAGGAGGAGGAUACUCCCUGCUAUAACUGGAGAACAGAGGCAGUGUGCUUUUGCCUCAGGAUGUGCUACUGGAAUUGCUGGUAGCUGAUGUCAGAUGAGGUCACGGCCAACCACUCGGAUCAGGGAACUGCUUAUAAAGAUUAAUGAGGAAUAGGUGAGGGUGGGAUAGGGGUCAGAGUGGGCAGCUGUUGUUGAAGGUACUUGAAAUCAGAGACACAAAAUUCCAGGCAAGACAGAUGAUUGGGUGACUUUGUAUAUAUAAGAAAGCACUUUAGAAAUAACCUGUCCAUAGUCCAGGCAGUUUCCUGAAAGUAGCUGAAACAAAUUUGACAGCCUUGACUGCCUUUUAUUCUCAAAGUCUCAGAUUUCCAGGUUGUCUCUUUUAGAUACUAGAAUGCCAGUCAGUUAGAUUGACUCAAAUCUUUGUCCCAUGUGUAAAUUUCCUCUCAUUUUGUCCUUAGUGUACACUAUCCUGGAGAAUCAUCUCCAUGAACAAAUUAGCUGCUGAUCUCCAUCUUGCCUGGGCUGGGCCUUUCAGUGAUAUCAAAAGUUCUAGAAAGUUUGACAGAAGGAGGAGAGGAAGAACCUUAUUCUUCAUAAAUAGAUUACUUGUGUUUCAAGGAGCCCCUCUUUCAAAUGGGAGAAAAAGGGGCCUGGAGACUGGAUUGAAAGAACCCUUGAACAAGGAAGUUUGA
This 1101-nucleotide long non-coding RNA is filed under the name Oryctolagus cuniculus (rabbit). RNAcentral's name for it is "lncRNA (ENSOCUG00000031851.1)". The record is from RNAcentral. Lineage: Eukaryota; Metazoa; Chordata; Mammalia; Lagomorpha; Leporidae.